AUUAUGUCUAUAAAUAAUAGUUUACUUUGUGCUUUUCACACGAGAUUAUAACUAUGGCUAUGUCAUUUACUUGGUUUGAUAGACACCAAAAACAUUUUAUGCACAUAUCAAAUCAAAACAACUAUAAGAUGCAGUUCCAUAGUAACAAAAAUAUAAUCUAUCAUGCAUCAGUGAAAAAAAAAAGCAAUGUGGUGUACUGGUGUACCUAAUCCAUCACUGAAGGAACCAAAACUACUCAUACUGGUUUUCAAGUGCAAAUUUCAACAAGAGUCCAAGCAGAUAGUGGCCUGCUCGUCGCAGAAACACAAUGAGUAAUCCUAAAAGUUUAGCAACAGAUACCAAGUAAUUAGGCUGAAGAGAUAAUAACCUGGCAAGACGAGUGUAGAGCAACUGCUUGGACAAUUCAUUGCAUUUUUCAACAGUUGGUGGCUCCACAAUAUACUGUUUGUUCUGCUCCAGCAACUGUUUGUAGUAGCCAGUACCAUGCUUAGAAAGAAACUGUGAAGCUUGACAUGCCUUAGAUUGCAGUUGCUGAAUCUUGGAUGCCAUCAAUACCAAGAAAGUCCUGGGACCCAACAAUAAAAAGAAAUAAAAUCAAACAUCUAACCAGCUAACAAAGCAGACGUACUCCCUCUCUAGCACGCUGGAGGAUACAAUGGAAACUAGGAGGCAGGCAGAAAGUAGCUGGGAAGGCCACACCCUUUUGUAUUUUUGGUUAUUAUGUAGAGAAGUAAAGUAAAAAAAAAAUGAAGGAUUGAGAAUCCGUUGCGAGCCAAAUGUUCUUCCUUUCUCCUACAAGAUAACCAAUUAUAUAGAAGUUGGUCAGAUGUCUGGCGGGCUUGAUGGACUUUCUUAUACUGAUUGUCUCGGAGUUGUACAAAUUGAUUCUUAUAAUUAUCCUAAAAUAAGGGACCAGACAUACAACACCCCCCCCCCCCCAANNNNNNNNNNNNNNNNNNNNNNNNNNNNNNNNNNNNNNNNNNNNNNNNNNNNNNNNNNNNNNNNNNNNNNNNNNNNNNNNNNNNNCCCCCCCCAAAACACCUCAAAGGCCAGUUUUGCAACUUUUUUCAAUUUAAAAGAUGCCACAUAAAAACUAUUACACCAUUUUGUUCCAGAGACUUAGAAAAACAGGUAGCAGUAAAGAUCUAGCGUGAAAAAGGUUCAAAAUAUAGCAUGGCAGUUGCCACUUCCCUCAUAAAAGCCAUUUAGCAAUCUAAUCCGGAAUCAAAUGAGCCUUUUGAUCAAGUAGUUUUGAACAUGAGUAAACCAAAAUACCAUGCUCCCAUAUGCGUAAACCUAGAAUGACUUUACAUAGAUCACCUUUAUUUCUGUAGUUCGUUUUAAAUGUUCUAAACUAAGAACAUAGCUGACUCUCAAAUCCAAAUUUUUUUCCAAAUAAUCAAUCAACUGAACCUCAAGCAAAUCUAUAUGAAUAUCUAUAUCUAUUUUACUCUAUUUCAGCCCAGUUUUAAAUUUCCUUGAAUACUUUUUUCCCAGACAAAUCAGACAAAAACCAGGGACACUACUAAAAAGUGGCAAGUCCAAGCAUAUAAUCAUUGGAAUUCUAACUAUAUCUCCGUCCCAAACAAGUUAGGGUCGGCUAUGCGAAUCCUCACUGACCAUGUUCCACAUUAAAUUUAUCUGACCAACAUCACACAAAAUAAAAAUAAAAACGAAAAGGCACUAGAAGAGAUCCAUAUUUUCUACUAGCAUGGGAUGAGGCUAAAAGACCCUGAAAAAGCAUAGAUUUAUCGGUAUUCUAACGUGCACAAGAAAAAAGAUAGCUUUUUCUCGGUAGUUUAGUUGACAAACUACAAGAAAUUUCUCUCAAACCCCUUCAAAUAAAAGCUGAUGUUUUCCUAGCUAGUUCCAAUUCUAUCUCACAAAACAGAUUGAAUAUCAUCAGUCAUAGCUGAGUCAAAUCAAUAAACCUAAAGUCUUAUCAUCUUCCAGAAACAGGGUUUGAUCCAAAUCUUAAGCUAUGGUUCAGUCAAACCCAAUACCUUCGGCCUACACCUUAUACCAUUGUAUGAGACUCCAUCCAGUUCCAAAUCCUCCAAUACUUCUCAAUGGUACUUCAAAAUUUAAGCCAUGUGUCCAAUCAAAAUUUAAAGGCUGGGAUAUAAUCACUUUCUUCCUUUUAUUUGAUCUUUCUUCCUUCCGUGGUCUCAACUUCUCAGGUCCAAAUGAUUGUGCAUAAUCCAUAAAGCUCCUCUCCGGAAAUAUAGUGACAAAUUGCUAAUGCAAGUUGGAGGAAAGAAAUUAAAAAACUGAGUACAAUGUUCUUGCUGAGGAGAUAUUCGUGUUCUGUAUUUAGGAGAUGUGUGAAGGAGAAAAUCAAGCCUUCAAAAUUUUAUAAGAACAUGUCGCAGCAAUCAAGAUCUACGUUGAGAUGCAAGAGAGCAUUUGGUACUUGAGGUGAUCCAGACUCUUUUUAACUUAAAAGGAAUAAACUUUAGAUAUGAGCAACUUAACAAUUAAAGAUCUGCAGGCAGGCGAAUAAUUAAGUUUUAAGACUCAAUUGUGAUAAUUUUUAUAUAUUUGCUACUUUGACAUCUAGAAUUUGUUGCGAUUAGUUUCUUUUGAUUUCAAAAUUAAAGAAACUAAUGAUUAAAAAAAAUUUAAUCUCUCAAUCUGAAACCAAAGCAAAAACUAGUCCAAAUUAAACUCUGUUCGGUUCAGUUCGGUUUUGUUUUAACCCCAAUAAUGCACACUCCUAGUUAUUAGGGGUUGUGCACUCUAUCCGAAAUUUACAAACUCAAUAAAAUUCAAAUCCUGAAUCCUCCUUUGACCACCAAAAACACAACAUAUAAACCUAUAACAAAUUCAAUCUCUUAUACACGUGCCUAAGUGUAUAUCUUGUGCUUUUAUUAUAUAAUCAUACCAAAUGAGAUCUGACAGAAACUGUUUAGCAAAACGUUGAAAUAAACCAAUUAAUCAAUCAACCAACUACACUUCAAUCCUAAACUAAUCGAAUCCGCUAUAUGAAUCACCUAUUUCCAUUUUGCUCUAUUCGAGCCAAUUUCAUUUCAUAACAAAUAUAUUGUACUAAUAAGGAAGAAAAAACAGGGGGAAGAAAGUCAAAUCAAACUAAUUAAGAGCAGAAUAGAGUAAAAAUAGAGCUCAAAAUUUACCUUUCGUCUGCGAUUUGCAGUAAUACUACAGGCGAUGUUUUUGCUUCAGUCGCCGAUAGCAGUGACCCUAGCUUUUUGAUAGAGGCUUCUAUGAAUAUCGUGAAUCGGAGAUUUUCUACCUUCCCACUGAAAGUUGUGGUUAUUACGGUUUGCACCCCAAGGAAAAGUUAGUAGUCCACUUGUGAUGCACUAAGUUUAGAUUUAUUUCUAUUUCCCUCUUUUCUUUAUAUACUACUCCACUAUUAACUCCCUUUUCUUUUUGUGGUUUCUCAUUUGGUGUCGGGUACCCGGAGUCAUGUUAACUGGUCUCACACUAGGAGUUAUAAUGUUCCCUAAUAGUAAAAUUUCUUAUGUAUUAACUAUGGCGCCGUUUCGAAAAGCUAAAACCAAAAUUAGUGGCUAUGAGGGCGAAACAAUUGAGUCCACUAAGCCACACUUUUCGGUUCAAGCCCUGACAAUUGAACAAAAUUCUACUACUGAGCGCGUCCUUUUUUUAACAGUCUUACACGAUAUAAAUUCAGAUUAGUCAGAGUUAGGGCAUGUACCGAGCACCAAAUAAAAACCACACCAAUAAAGUUAGAAACGAAUCUUUUUAGUCGUUUAUAAAAAUAAUAGCCAAUAAAAUAUAUAUUUUUUGCACAUAUUAAUAUUAUAUAAAUAUAAUAUACAUAUUUUAUGCACGUUUUGCUUAACGAAUGCCAUUAAUUUUGGUGAACAUGCCAAUUUUAUAUUUUGCCCAAAUAAAAACAAGCUAGUCACAAUUAGAACUGAUGUUUAUGAGCUCGAAUUUUACAAACCCCUUAUUGUUUAUGUCCAAUUGAGUCUUCGUUACUCUCUUAAACUACUUCCAUGAAAGAAAAAGAAAAACAGCGGAUAAGUUUGGUUUGGCGAUUUCAACUUCAUAGCUAGCUGUUCGCAGUUUAGAUUAGCGGCUUAACCUCUACAAUAACAGUUGUAAUUGUCGCUGUUUUAGAUAUCUUGUGAACUGGAAUUUAGUUUUCAUUUUGAGUCAACCAAUAUAAAGGAAGUGAACAAACUUAUACUAUAUAGUAUUAUAUAAUUAUAUUCUACUUUGAAAGUUUAACCUUAUAAGGAACACUAACAAAGACAGCACACUGUCAUAGGCAGCAGUAUCAUUCAACAAGUAAAAUUACUAUUACAAAGUUCAAUCUAAGCCUCUCCACUGAAGUGGGAACAAGAUGAGCGAAAAUUGGUAAAUUAUUGCAUCGAUUUAAACACUGAUUUCACGGAUCCAAAAACUUUUUUGGGAGACAAAAUCUGGUAUGAAUUCACUGUCACUCAAAUCAUACUAAUAAAAAGAGAGACCUCACAGUUGUCAAUCUGAACAAACAAAUUUUUGGAAACUGAUAUCUCAGACAUAGUAACCAGUGAAUGUAAAUCCUCUUCCUACUAUCUCACCAGCACAAUACCAUGCAAAGCACUCCAAACCGAACAAAGCAGCAAUGCCUGCAUCUUCAACCUUCAAUUCCUUUCUAUUCCUCCACAUGUGCUUGACAGAAUCGACUUCCUUCCAAAAUGACUCGUAACGGCCAGGGAUGCUGGAGGGAGUGGAAAAGGUUCAAUAUUCAAAGAACAAAUGACACUCAUAAUGGCAAGUAACAACAACAACAACCCAGUAUAAUCCCACUGAGUGCGGUCUGAGGAGGGUAGUAUGUACUCAGACCUUACCCCUACCCUUGGGCAGAGAGGAUGUUUCCAAAUAGACCCCCGGCAUCCUUCCCUCCAAGAACUUCCCACCUUGCUCUUGGGGAGACUCGAACUCACAACCUCUCGGUUGGAAGUGAGGUUGCUUACCAUCAGAGCAACCCAUCUUGUCAAGUAAGCUACUUAAAAAUGUAUAUAAUGUAAAGAUGCAUACAACUCCACUUGGAUUUCUUAGGAUAAAAAUGAUCAUUGAAAUCUCAGACACGGGAGGCAUGUGGAGGGUGAAAUAAAGCAAUAUCAACUAAAGAUGUCUUUGGCCACCAUAUUUGGUUGCAUUACAUGCGGAAUGAUAAGUUCACACAAUAACAUUUUAUUAUGGAGCAUAGAAUUGCCUAUAAUAAUCUUUUCUUAAUAGGGAAUCGCCUAUAAUAAUCUUAAAGAAGAGAAUUUUACGAUUAUGUCUGUGAAUAAUAAUCUAUGUUGUGCUUUUUAACAUGAGAUUACGACUAUGGCUAUAUUAUUUACUUCGUUUGACACACACCUAAAAACAUUUAAUGCACAUUAUCAUGCGAAAAACCUUUCACUUAAAAACCAUAUCAAAUCAAAAAGAACUAUAAUAUGCAGCCCACAAAAAAAAAUACUGUGCAUCAGUGAAUCUACUAUCCUAAAUGCUUAGCAACAGAUAUCAAGUAAUUAGACUGAAGAGAGUAUAACCUAGCAAGACGAGUGUAGAGCAACUGCUUGGACAACUCAUUGCAUUUUUCAACAGUAGGUGGCUCCACAAUAUACUGUUUGUUCUGCUCCAGCAACUGUUUGUAGUAGCCAGUACCAUGCUUAGCAAGAAACU
This 5646-nucleotide long non-coding RNA is filed under the name Nicotiana benthamiana. RNAcentral's name for it is "long non-coding RNA (NBEN_LNC026668)". Lineage: Eukaryota; Viridiplantae; Streptophyta; Magnoliopsida; Solanales; Solanaceae. The record is from RNAcentral.